This is a long non-coding RNA of Anneissia japonica, 2622 nucleotides long. RefSeq lists it as uncharacterized. The record is from RefSeq and is a predicted model, not a curated record. The transcript is spliced from 4 exons. NCBI's taxonomy places the organism in Eukaryota, Metazoa, Echinodermata, Crinoidea, Comatulida, Comatulidae.
UAUCCGGAGUUUAGAAGUUGGACUUCCGUUUGCUAACAUUCUUUAGUAACAUUUGAAAAGACAUAAUUGGCAUCAAUAUCAUUAAGACAAUUGCCGGUUUACAGGUGUAUGAUUACUUAGUUAAAAAUAAUGUGGAAGAUACUAGUUGUGUCAGUCCUAGCUGUGUUGUCAUUGAGACAAGAUACAAAAGCAAUAACAGUAACUUGCCCAAACAAUGUUACAUCGAACAACUACGUUGGCAUGGAAUUCAGCGUUAUUGCAGUUAAAACCGACCCCGAAGCCAGUGUGGCCACUGUCACCUGGGACCUACCCAUUGUAACUAACAACAUUAGCCGUUUCAACGUGACGUCAUCGCUGUAUAAAUCAGGAGACGAAAUACCAAUUAUGACAAAUCACGUAAUCACAUUUACAGCCACAGAGUCUUCAGGAAACACAGAUACUUGUUUUUUUUGUGAUAUCUGUUAUCGAUAUUGAGGAUCCAAUUUGUACCAUCGACCCGCCAUCGUAUAUAGGCUCUGCAGAGAUGGAGGAACAGAAUUCUACAAUCAACUACGUCAUCACUGUUAGAGACAAUGUCCAAGUCAGCAGUAUUAAGACAGAUUGCAGUUUUAUUGAUAUUGGAAAUAGUGGUCAGGAGUAUAUUGUUGACAGAGCCAUAGAAGAAAUCGACAGCACAGGAACUUUCCCUAUUGGCGAGACUAUGGUUCUGUUUUCGGUUGUAGACAAUGCGAGUCCGAAUGGAAAUGAAGGAACCUGUUCAUUUGGUGUCACAUUAAGCGAAUACAUGCCGACAACUGAGAGAGCAGUUACAGAAGACAGUUCAGGACACCAAGUUUCAGGCUCAGUAACUGUCAAAGUGCUGACGUUGUUAAUGAAUUCUUUUGUGAAGCUCUAUUAUUUAAAUUAACACACAUCGUACUAAUAACGAUGGUGGGGCUGAGGUGGUUAUAUACCCUCAUGUGAAAGUCCUUCCCAGGGUCCCCUCUAUUUCGAAUUUCUGGAUCCGCCACUGCUGGCGAUCCCCUCAAAGCAUUGUACAAUCUGGGCGCCCCGACGCUUACGGGCACUCCGGAACUGUUUGACUACCUUUAACUUUACUUCACUCCCUAGGCUCAUAAUGCGAUUUAGUUUAUACAGAACAUGUUUUGUUAUGUCUUGUGAAGAGAUAUGCCACUUAGAAAAGUGAUGAAGUUCACUGUUAAUAAAAUAUUUUUUUUGUUUUAAAUUUCGUAGGAGUGAUGUAUUUGCCUAUAUUAUGAAAUUUCUUGACAAUUCCCUUGGGGAUCGGAUUCAAUACUAGCUUAUAAGCGCAGGGUCAGUGGUCUAGUAGUUACGACACCAUGCUAGUUAUCUAGAAGGCGUGGGUUCGAUUUUUACCCAAAUCAUUUACGGUAUACUUGAUGUUUGUGUGUUUUUAGGAAAUGAAUGUUCACGCUAUUCUAAUGUGAGAUGAUAAAUAUAUUCAUAUUUAGGCUUAUUCCUUUUUAGUAAAAUGUAUUAAUUAAAAGAUUCUACAUAUACAUUUUACACUAAAUUGUCUUCAUUUGGCUUCGUUAUUACAUCAUUAUUGUUAUCAUUAUUAUCAUGCUAUUAAAAUAAUGUAUGUGGAAUAAUAAUAUUUAUCAUAACAAUAAGAUAUAAUAAUAUAAACCAUACAAUAAAUAGUAUGGUAUCUAUAGUUAUUUUAUGCUCUUUUAGUAACUUUUAAUACAAAUUUUUUGUGCAAUUCAAUGAUAUUUAGAAAGAUGUUCCCUUUGUUACUGUGCCAUACUAAAGUCUUUAUAUACAUAGGCCUAUUCACUUUGAUGUUUCUAUUUCAAAUUUUUUUUUAUAACGUUUGCAUUGCUGUGUAUGAUUGUGCAUUAUUAAGGGGACACCAUUUUAAUCCCGAAGGUGUCACCUUAAUUGCAAUUCGUGUAAAGUAUAAUAGCUCAGAUGCAUGAACAGAAAAUAAACCCUAUUUUAAAUAUACUGAUCGACUUACAAAAUUAAUUUGUCGGAACUGUAAUUCAUGGCGGUUUAGGCUUCAGAACGGAGGGUCUAAAAUAGAAACGUUAAUACUUUACAGAUGAAACAAUAAAAUUUGCUAAUAAUAGACUUCUAAUAUAAGGGGGGAAAUACUUUAAUACGAAUACAGGUAGCUUACGGUGCAAUUCGAAACAUGAAUAUUAAUUUUUUUUUUAAACGACUUCAUUUUCAAUAACAAAUCUCAAAAUACUGCAAUAAGAAAUGUUCCAGGGUGCCGACAGAAGACAAAGAAACUCCUUCUCCCUCGUGAACCUUUACUAUUACAAUAAUAAUUAUGUUGAAGAUUACUAUUCCCAUUAUUAUGUAAACUACGGUAAAACAACUUCUAUAACAUAAUUACUAAAUGCCAAAACAUAUUUUAAACUGUCCUUUUUUAACUUAAUUUAUGGUAGAUAGACAAGACGUACAUAAGCAAAGUGAAUAUUCUGGGAAAAUAUCUUCAUGAUUGUUCUGAUCAAAUAUUUAUUGGGCUACUACAUAAUAAUAUUGUAAAAUUCGUAAUUACAAUUUGUAAAGACGAAGUAGCAUAUUAUGUAUAUACAGUAGUGGGAUUUAUACAUUUUAUAUAUUUAUUAAUAUUUAUAUACCUGAACU